UAUUGUAUAUUCGAUUGAACCCUUUUUUUAUUAGUGGCCUUCAUCCGUGCAAAGACGUGCACAGUAUAUUCUGCCAGUGUCGUGUAGGUUUUAACCCUUAUGUUGACGCCUACGUUGUCAUAAACAAUAAUUGUCACUUAGUUGUUGAGAACGUUGUCUUUGUCUACUACGAAUCAUAUCAGUCAGCCGUUUUUUUGCCCUUCUGUUUUGGCAAAGGUCAAGGAAUAGGUUCCUAAGGGUCACACGGAGGGAAAUAUUUUUAACCAACAUUCGUUAGCACUGCAAUUUAAUUAGUAUUUAUUAAACAAAUAUCAAAACCUUAUGAUUGCAUUGUUUGUUUUCUAACAAAAUCUUUUAAGAUACUGAUCGGAGUAAAUAAUGAAUACAGCGAGAAAAGCAAAACAACUGAAAAAGGCACUACCAUAUAUUCUAUAGCUGAUGUACUGCAAACACUGUUGAAACUAAACGAGGCCAGAUACAACACAUUCAAAAAACUUAACUCACUAAACAAUAUACAUUACAUGAGAACUUUCAGUGAGAAAGAAAAUGAAAAUAAUAUUUGGGAAACUUUUCUGGAAAUAGCGACAUUUUUCAAGCUGUCAUUUAAACCAAAUCUUGAGAAAGACGAGGAACAAAAUAUUCGUUAUUACGACGUGUAUCACGACGAUAAAUAUAUAUUCACAAUCCCAGUACCGAAGAGUAUGGACUUAAAGAAAGUUCUUAGCGUGACCGCUGCAUCCGAUGACAAAAACACUGAUGUGAAAAAGAAUGGCAGUCUCAGACACUACACGUGCAGGCGAGGCGAUAAAAGAUGUAAAUCAGCUUGCAGGGAAGCCCUGAUGAUGGCUUGCAUUAUACUUCCUGUAUGCGAAUACGAUUUUUACAUGCAAAUGACAUUGUCCUGUAAAUACGAGUGCGAGGAUAGAUUCUAUUGAAACAAACUUAAAUAUGUUAUAUAUAAAUAGACUGAGUUUAAUAAUAAUAAAAUAAAGCAAUGAAUUCUUGUUUUAUUGUCGAUUUGUGUUUCAAUUUUAGAAGUAUGCUAGCAACCUUAUCGAGUUGUGUAAUCGUUUUUAUAAUUUUAGAAUUAACACAUGUAGAACUUGAGAUGUCCAUCUUGAAGACAGAUGAUUUAAAUGUUUUACAAGAUAUUAUAAACUCUAUAUACAAAAAAAAUAAAAUAAGGCGUCACGAUAUAAGAAUAUCAUCGUCCGACUCAGAGCCAAGUAAAGAGUUUGAAACUACUACAAAGAAAGCGAUUAAAAGUCGUUAUUUAAAGAAUAAUAAAAAUAUUCUUAGAAUUCUACCCGGUAAGGAUUUACGAAGUAAUAGUUCAGAAUUAUCGAAAAGCUAUGAUUAUAAUGAUGAUUCAGGGCAAACGGAGCACAUCAAAACUGAAGAAAUCUAUAGCACAGCUGAAAA
RNA transcript from Danaus plexippus (monarch butterfly), 1422 nucleotides. RefSeq lists it as uncharacterized. The record is from RefSeq and is a predicted model, not a curated record. The transcript has 4 exons. NCBI's taxonomy places the organism in Eukaryota, Metazoa, Arthropoda, Insecta, Lepidoptera, Nymphalidae.